GUAGGUGGCAAGCGUUGUCCGGAAUUAUUGGGCGUAAAGCGCGCGCAGGCGGUUCUUUAAGUCUGAUGUGAAAGCCCACGGCUCAACCGUGGAGGGUCAUUGGAAACUGGAGAACUUGAGUACAGAAGAGGAAAGCGGAAUUCCACGUGUAGCGGUGAAAUGCGUAGAGAUGUGGAGGAACACCAGUGGCGAAGGCGGCUUUCUGGUCUGUAACUGACGCUGAGGCGCGAAAGCGUGGGGAGCAAACAGGAUUAGAUACCCUGGUAGUCCACGCCGUAAACGAUGAGUGCUAAGUGUUAGGGGGGUUUUCCGCCCCCCCCCGUAGUGCUGCAGCUAACGCAUUAAGCACUCCGCCUGGGAGUACGGCCGCAAGGCUG
This 377-nucleotide ribosomal RNA is filed under the name uncultured organism. Its description in RNAcentral is "partial 16S ribosomal RNA". It matches the Rfam family "Bacterial small subunit ribosomal RNA", at positions 527 to 896 of the family's 1533-position model. The record is from RNAcentral.